Neopelma chrysocephalum (saffron-crested tyrant-manakin) is the source of this 383-nucleotide long non-coding RNA. RefSeq lists it as uncharacterized. The record is from RefSeq and is a predicted model, not a curated record. The transcript has 4 exons. NCBI's taxonomy places the organism in Eukaryota, Metazoa, Chordata, Aves, Passeriformes, Pipridae.
GUUCUUACUCUGAAACACCAACAGAUCCUCUAUUUUGGCUUUUUUUUCCCUCACCCAACAGAGGAACCUUCCCGUUGUUCCUGUGUGAUCUCAGAUCUCUAUGGAUGGUGAAACAUUUGAGCUACAGAAGCUUUUAAAGUAUAUGAAGAAACCAUUAAGUACAUUAUGAAAGCAUUGAGGCCAAAGGAUCUGAGCCAGCUCUUUGCAAACCCAGCUCUAAUGACCUACUAUUUACCCAGAAUUGAGCAGUAUAAAGCCUUCAUUACCAAUUGUUGGUUAGCUGGGAAUUGUAUGUUUUCCAGUGGAGAAUGCACAGGGAUAUUAAUGGAGCUGCUGUGCAAGGCCUGAACUGCAGAGGGUGGGACAGGGACCAUCCUCUGACA